GAGUUUGAUCGUGGCUCAGAACGAACGCUGGCGGCAUGCCUAACACAUGCAAGUCGAACGCCCCGCAGGGAGGUGGCGGACGGGUGAGUAACGCGUGGGAACCGUGCCCAAUGGUCUGGAAUAAACCGCGGGAAACUGCGGCUAAUACCGGAUAAGCCCGACGAGGGGAAAGGAUUUAUCGCCGAUGGGAGGGGCCCGCGUCCGAUUAGGUAGUUGGUGGGGUAACGGCCUACCAAGCCUACGAUCGGUAGCUGGUCUGAGAGGAUGAUCAGCCACAC
RNAcentral lists this ribosomal RNA (278 nucleotides) under uncultured Alphaproteobacteria bacterium. Its description in RNAcentral is "partial 16S ribosomal RNA". It matches the Rfam family "Bacterial small subunit ribosomal RNA", at positions 9 to 313 of the family's 1533-position model. The record is from RNAcentral. Lineage: Bacteria; Pseudomonadati; Pseudomonadota; Alphaproteobacteria.